AGUGAACGCUGGCGGUAGGCCUAACACAUGCAAGUCGAACGGCAGCACAGUAAGAUCUUGCUCUUACGGGUGGCGAGUGGCGGACGGGUGAGGAAUACAUCGGAAUCUACUUUUUCGUGGGGGAUAACGUAGGGAAACUUACGCUAAUACCGCAUACGACCUACGGGUGAAAGCAGGGGAUCUUCGGACCUUGCGCGAUUGAAUGAGCCGAUGUCGGAUUAGCUAGUUGGCGGGGUAAAGGCCCACCAAGGCGACGAUCCGUAGCUGGUCUGAGAGGAUGAUCGGCCACACUGGAACUGAGACACGGUCCAGACUCCUACGGGAGGCAGCAGUGGGGAAUAUUGGACAAUGGGCGCAAGCCUGAUCCAGCCAUACCGCGUGGGUGAAGAAGGCCUUCGGGUUGUAAAGCCCUUUUGUUGGGAAAGAAAAGCAGCAGGUUAAUACCCCGCUGUUCUGACGGUACCCAAAGAAUAAGCACCGACUAACUUCGUG
This 492-nucleotide ribosomal RNA is filed under the name uncultured bacterium. RNAcentral's name for it is "partial 16S ribosomal RNA". It matches the Rfam family "Bacterial small subunit ribosomal RNA", at positions 29 to 507 of the family's 1533-position model. The record is from RNAcentral.